UAAGAAGGGGAGCAACUGUGGUUCUGUUUUGGUGCACUCGGGAAGCAUUUCUCCUACCUAGGUAAAGAGUAAACUUGUUUUAGAAAUAAACUUGUUCACUUGUAGAGGUUUCUCUUAAAACCCUUUUACUUAUUUUCCCCAUCUUCUUCUCUAAUUUUACCUGCCCAUAGCUGCUGUUGAACAAUUGUAAGAUUUCCAAACUCUCAAAUCAGUUGGUUUGAAUGUGCUAUUGUAGGUGUCAUGUGUUAUUUUAAAAUCAGUUGGUUUCUCAAAUUCGUAGAGAUCGUUGUGAGUAGAGAAUGGACUGUAAUUUAGCAGUUUCCGGCAGCCACUCAAGAGAAAUUGGUUAACUUACACUCAAAAUUAAAGACGCAGGUAUGAAUUUUUGCUCAAAACUUAGCUUACGUUUGCUGCUACUGAUAAAAGUGAAGUAAUUCCUACUAUGUUGACAUGGUUUAUUCGAAAUGGGUCAUUUCUCACAGCCUAGUUCUUGGAUUUCUUCACAUGUUUAGAUUAUCUUUUGCUUAUGAGAAAUUCUAAUAACGAUCACAUGACUUUCACUUUGAUUAUUUGAUAUAUCAUUUGGCUUUUUUGCAUAAGAUCGCCUACUGCUUCUAUGUAUACUCGAAUAAUUUCCUUUUCUUUGGCAUAGUUUCUCGUCCUUUUUAGUUAUUUAUGGGGCUUGAUGAUGAUCUUGUUGCAGAUCCCGGGUGCUUUGCAGUUUUUGCAGCUUGGAGAAAGCAGCGUUGCAUGCUUCGGGUGUACUGCGCAGGACAAGGAAGCACUUAUUCUCGAGG
Molecule: long non-coding RNA, 797 nt
Filed under: Salvia miltiorrhiza (redroot sage)
Lineage: Eukaryota; Viridiplantae; Streptophyta; Magnoliopsida; Lamiales; Lamiaceae
Description: long non-coding RNA (SMIL_LNC007317)
Source: RNAcentral